AAGCUCGCAUCCGGCGGCCUGGAAAGUUUUAUGCAUAUCUGAUUGGUGGGCUGACUCUCAAUUUUGCACCCACCUAAAUCAAAUUCAAUUGUUAUUAAUUCAUCCAGGGGCAUGGGUGGCUCGUGCACUCAGGCACUUAUUUCACAGAUCUUCAAUCCUUGUACAGAUCAUGAUUGAAAAUAAAUUUUUAAAUUUUAAUACCUUUACUUUUUUUUCAAUCGAAAUUUAAUAUAAAAAGUUUCACACAUUACGUUUGUUUGCUAAUUUUCACGCCCCCUCCCCACGACGCUGCUGAUCAAAUGAUAAGCGUAUUUUGAUGAUAUUCACGUGCCGCUGAAUAAUUUGGGCAUUAAAAAUGGACAACAAAAAACCGCUAUACGAAUGAAAAGCACUUCUCACUAAUUAAUGAUAUUAUGUAGACGGACAACUGGAUGAAAAAGAAGACAUUUUACAUAGUGUCGGAAAUGUAUAGAUGUUUUCGGACAAUUGUUGUAUAUUUUUACACAUUCAAUGGGCAGUUUUGAAUAUUAAAUCGACAUUUAAUUUUUAAUAAUAAGUUUGAAGUCUAAACUGGAAUACUACGCUGAGGUAGUUGCCUGGAUUCUUGAUUAUGAAAUGAGAAAGUUGCAAAAUCAAAUAAAGGAAAAUAAAAACCAUCACUGACACUGAAUUGACUCCAAAAUUUUGGCUAUCUCACAUGUCUCGGCGAUGGAUGUCCAUUGCCAUUGCCAUUCGCAUGGCCAGAGCUGCCGGCAGCGUUGCUCGCUCCAGCGGACGCAUCGGCGCCCGGCUCAUGCGCUGCGGCGGCAAUUGUUGUUAUGGGGGCUCCAUCGUUCAGUCUACUAGUGUGAUGCACCCAAUCCGUGAGCGUCACAUCGGAUGUGCCGCCCGACUCGAGCGGUAUGG
Molecule: long non-coding RNA, 906 nt
Organism: Drosophila montana
Lineage: Eukaryota; Metazoa; Arthropoda; Insecta; Diptera; Drosophilidae
Exons: 2
Source: RefSeq, a predicted model, not a curated record